GGAUCUCCUCCGACCCCGAAGGAGAGCGGGGUGGGGGGUAGGGGGUGCGAGCGAGCCGGGCGCAGAGCGGGCGGACCUCGGCGGCGGGGCUGCAGGUGGAGCCCGGGAGCGACCGAGCCGAGGCGCCUCCUUCCUGCACGGUUCCCGGCCCCGUGCGCGCCGCCCCCGGCGGAGGUCCCAGCGGGGGCGCCUCCGGCCGGAGCCCAGCCCUCGCCUGCCCCACCCCCACAGCGGCUCUCGUAGGGGGAAGGGAAAAAAAAAAAACAAACCCGGACAGCAUUGCUGCGUUGUGCCAAAUCAGAAAAAUAAAUAAAAAUAGACGUAGUGCAGGAGCCAGUUACAAGAAAGGAUUUGCCCAUCGAUUUUCUUAAAUGGAAAAGUUUUUUAAAGGGCGAGGGUAAGUGAAUGGCGCGCCCGCCCGUUCUGUAUGACUGUAUCCGAGGUGGAUCCCCGAGGCGGCGGACGCUGCGCGCGGCCGGCGCGGGCGAAGGCGCACCUGGACCGGGGGCGCGCGGCUCUCGGCGCACGGACGCGUGGCGCAGCGGGCAAGCGCGCGCGGGGACGACGCGACGGCGUGGCGGACCCAGCGAUCGGCCGUGCAACUUGUGCGCUCGCGAGGGCCGGGCUGCGCGCCAGACCGUAUUCUCUUUGUGCCGUCCCUGCCUGUAAAGACAUCUGCCCACGGGGUUCGCGGGGAGUAAAUCAGCACGUGACAGCCUCCCCCACCGCCACCUUUUUGUGAGAGUGAGAGGCAGAAAUUCGCACCUGGGGAAGGUGGGGGGAACAGUUCCGGGCGAGCCGCUGCCCCUGCUAUUCUGCAGCGCGGCCGGCAGGGGCCGCUCUCCCCACUUUUCCCGGGCCUUGGGUCGCGGGGGGCGGGGGCUAGGGGCGGCCCCGGGUGCGCGCGCAGCCCCACGGCGGGGCGCACGGUCUCCGGGAGGGGCCGGGGGGGCGGCCGGGCCGGGGGCGGCUGCGCCGGGUGUUGGGGGCCAGGUCCGGCGGUCGGGCCGGCGCUGCUGGGCCUCGGGGUUGGGCGGGAGCGCAGGGG
RNAcentral lists this long non-coding RNA (1048 nucleotides) under Oryctolagus cuniculus (rabbit). RNAcentral describes it as "lncRNA (ENSOCUG00000032551.1)". Lineage: Eukaryota; Metazoa; Chordata; Mammalia; Lagomorpha; Leporidae. The record is from RNAcentral.